Microcebus murinus (gray mouse lemur) is the source of this 735-nucleotide non-coding RNA. Lineage: Eukaryota; Metazoa; Chordata; Mammalia; Primates; Cheirogaleidae. The record is from RefSeq and is a predicted model, not a curated record.
AGCCCCGGAGGUCACCUGCGUGUGCCUGGCUGGGGCACGGCGCUGCCCACGUCUCUCUGCCCAAGAGCGAUCUCCACCUGUUUCUCAGACUCCCUCACAGAGAUCUCUGCUCGUCCCUACCCCUUUCCGUCCCUCUCACAGACAUUUCUGUCCCUCUGUGUCCUCCGCAAAACUCAGCUGUCCCUCGGUCACGUGCCUCUCUCUCUUGGCCGCGCCCUGUGCUCUCUGACCCAUCAUCAACCUCUGAAAUACACCCAGAAUCUGGCCUCUUCUCCCCUCCCUGCCCCUCGCCCCCGUCCAGCCCUGCCAUCCCUCACACGCUGACGUCCCCCACCCCACAGCAGCCGGAAGGAGCCUUUAAAAAGUGUGAGUCCGUGGAAAGGGGGCAGCCAGUUUGGAAAACCACGUGUGCAGAGCCACACCGCGGAGUAUUAUUCGGCCAAAAAAAAAAAAAAAAAAAAAGGGACGAAACUGAUACUCGCUACGGCAGGGACGGGCCUUGGCGACAUUACGCUCAGUGAACCGAGCCAGUCACAAAAGGCCACAUGUCGUAUGAUUCCAUUUUUACGAAGUGUCCAGAACAGGAGAAUCCGCAGAGACAGAAAGUGACAAAAAUGCUCUGAAACUGUGUGGAUGGUUGCCUGCGUCUGAGUACACGAAGACUACAGAGUUACACGCUUUAAACGGACGGUCUAUGGUGUGAGAAUUAUAUCUUAAUAAAACUAUUUGAAAACA